RNAcentral lists this unclassified non-coding RNA (650 nucleotides) under Fragosphaeria purpurea. RNAcentral's name for it is "sequence contains 18S rRNA gene, ITS1, 5.8S rRNA gene, ITS2, 28S rRNA gene". The stretch from base 233 to 386 matches the Rfam family "5.8S ribosomal RNA". The record is from RNAcentral. Lineage: Eukaryota; Fungi; Ascomycota; Sordariomycetes; Ophiostomatales; Ophiostomataceae.
UCGUAACAAGGUCUCCGUUGGUGAACCAGCGGAGGGAUCAUUACCGAGUCGGCUCCUGCCACUCCCAACCCGUGCGAACCAUACCCGUUGCAGUUCCCGUUGCUUCCGGCAGGCGGCCCCGCGAGGGGCCCCAGGCCCCCGGCCCUGGCCGGGGGCGCCUGCCGGACGGCGGCGGGCCUCCCCGAACCUCCUGUACUUUGACCACCGUCUGAGCCUACAAACAACGAAUCAAAACUUUCAACAACGGAUCUCUUGGUUCUGGCAUCGAUGAAGAACGCAGCGAAAUGCGAUACGUAAUGUGAAUUGCAGAAUUCAGCGAACCAUCGAAUCUUUGAACGCACAUUGCGCCCGCCAGUACUCUGGCGGGCAUGCCUGUCCGAGCGUCAUUUCCCCCCUCACGCGCCCUGGCGCGUGGUGUUGGGGCCCUGCGGCCGUCCCCCUCGCGGGGCGCGCAGGCCCCGAAAGCCAGUGGCGGGCCGGCCGGUUGGCUCCGAGCGCAGUAGAGAACGCAAGUCCUGUAUGCCCGCUGCGGAGGCCCCGGCCAGCGCCUAGCCUUACCCCGCCCGCGGCGCCCUGGCGCGCCGCGGGCACCCCCCACACAAGGUUGACCUCGGAUCAGGUAGGACUACCCGCUGAACCUAAGCAUAUCA